AUUGAACGCUGGCGGCAUGCUUUACACAUGCAAGUCGAACGGUAACAGGCCGCAAGGUGCUGACGAGUGGCGAACGGGUGAGUAAUGCAUCGGAACGUGCCCAGUCGUGGGGGAUAACUACUCGAAAGAGUAGCUAAUACCGCAUACGAUCUAUGGAUGAAAGCGGGGGACCGUAAGGCCUCGCGCGAUUGGAGCGACCGAUGUCAGAUUAGGUAGUUGGUGGGUAAAGGCUCACCAAGCCAACGAUCUGUAGCUGGUCUGAGAGGACGACCAGCCACACUGGGACUGAGACACGGCCCAGACUCCUACGGGAGGCAGCAGUGGGGAAUUUUGGACAAUGGGCGCAAGCCUGAUCCAGCAAUGCCGCGUGCAGGAAGAAGGCCUUCGGGUUGUAAACUGCUUUUGUACGGAACGAAACGGCUCUGGUUAAUACCCGGGGCUAAUGACGGUACCGUAAGAAUAAGCACCGGCUAACUACGUG
RNAcentral lists this ribosomal RNA (481 nucleotides) under uncultured bacterium. RNAcentral's name for it is "partial 16S ribosomal RNA". It matches the Rfam family "Bacterial small subunit ribosomal RNA", at positions 30 to 507 of the family's 1533-position model. The record is from RNAcentral.